UUUUAUGAGAGUUUGAUCCUGGCUCAGGACGAACGCUGGCGGCGUGCCUAAUACAUGCAAGUCGAACGCUUCUUUUUCCACCGGAGCUUGCUCCACCGGAAAAAGAGGAGUGGCGAACGGGUGAGUAACACGUGGGUAACCUGCCCAUCAGAAGGGGAUAACACUUGGAAACAGGUGCUAAUACCGUAUAACAAUCAAAACCGCAUGGUUUUGAUUUGAAAGGCGCUUUCGGGUGUCGCUGAUGGAUGGACCCGCGGUGCAUUAGCUAGUUGGUGAGGUAACGGCUCACCAAGGCCACGAUGCAUAGCCGACCUGAGAGGGUGAUCGGCCACAUUGGGACUGAGACACGGCCCAAACUCCUACGGGAGGCAGCAGUAGGGAAUCUUCGGCAAUGGACGAAAGUCUGACCGAGCAACGCCGCGUGAGUGAAGAAGGUUUUCGGAUCGUAAAACUCUGUUGUUAGAGAAGAACAAGGAUGAGAGUAACUGUUC
This 491-nucleotide ribosomal RNA is filed under the name Enterococcus faecium. RNAcentral describes it as "bacterial SSU rRNA". It matches the Rfam family "Bacterial small subunit ribosomal RNA", at positions 1 to 467 of the family's 1533-position model. Lineage: Bacteria; Bacillati; Bacillota; Bacilli; Lactobacillales; Enterococcaceae. The record is from RNAcentral.